GGAAAAAAGAGUUUAGGCGACGUUUGUUUAGCGACGUUUUUUUAAACGUCACUUUUUUUUUAACAUUUAACGACGUUUUAUAAAACGUCGCAUAUUUGCAUAAUAAAACGAUACCGUUUUGUAAUAGGAGGCGUUGAAAAACGCCUCCAAAUGCAUUGUGAUUCACGCGCCCCCUUUUUAAACCCUAAUUUUGAAUCUGAGACUCACCUAAGACCCAGAUCUCAAGCGCGCUCUCUCGCUCUCUCUAAAUCUCAGAGCGAUUUCGAAGCUCCACCGCUUAUUCAUUCUCAGAGCGAGGUAGCGAGCACCAACGAAGAGCGUCAGAGAUUCAGAUCGGUCUCCACCAUCUGCACCAUCGUCUGCACCAUCAUCUGCACCAUCGUCUACUAAGUUGCAGAGAGAUGGAGUCCCAGUCCCUCAAGCUUCGCAACAUUUUGGAGUUUCACAAUCUCCCAAUCUCGCCGACUCAUUGGUUCUCACUCCUUGUUCACCCAUGUGAACUCACUUCUCUCCCAUCACUCUUCUUAUCAUCGUCGAAUCCUUCUCACACUCGAAUUCUUCACCAAUUCAGUCGAAUUCAAACAGCCCCUUGUUGCAAAGAACCUGUACAUUUUCCAAUCGACUCGGUGGAAACUUCUUCAAGCCAUGCAUUCUAGUCCGCGUCCAAGGUCGAAGAUGAUGACACCAAUUCGAUGCCCUCUGGUACUAUUUC
This is a non-coding RNA of Camellia sinensis, 712 nucleotides long. Lineage: Eukaryota; Viridiplantae; Streptophyta; Magnoliopsida; Ericales; Theaceae. The record is from RefSeq and is a predicted model, not a curated record.